Non-coding RNA from Myotis lucifugus (little brown bat), 73 nucleotides. The record is from Rfam. Lineage: Eukaryota; Metazoa; Chordata; Mammalia; Chiroptera; Vespertilionidae.
GCCGAUGUGGCUCAGUGGAUAGAGUGUCAGCCUGCGGACUGAAGGGUCCUGGGUUUGAUUCCCUGUCAGGGCA